AGAGUUUGAUCCUGGCUCAGAUUGAACGCUGGCGGCAUGCCUUACACAUGCAAGUCGAACGGCAGCACGGAGCUUGCUCUGGUGGCGAGUGGCGAACGGGUGAGUAAUAUAUCGGAACGUACCCUAGAGUGGGGGAUAACGUAGCGAAAGUUACGCUAAUACCGCAUACGAUCUAAGGAUGGAAGUGGGGGAUCGCAAGACCUCAUGCUCGUGGAGCGGCCGAUAUCUGAUUAGCUAGUUGGUAGGGUAAAAGCCUACCAAGGCAUCGAUCAGUAGCUGGUCUGAGAGGACGACCAGCCACACUGGAACUGAGACACGGUCCAGACUCCUACGGGAGGCAGCAGUGGGGAAUUUUGGACAAUGGGCGAAAGCCUGAUCCAGCAAUGCCGCGUGAGUGAAGAAGGCCUUCGGGUUGUAAAGCUCUUUUGUCAGGGAAGAAACGGUGAGAGCUAAUAUCUCUUGCUAAUGACGGUACCUGAAGAAUAAGCACCGGCUAACUACGUGCCAGCAGCCGCGGUAAUACGUAGGGUGCAAGCGUUAAUCGGAAUUACUGGGCGUAAAGCGUGCGCAGGCGGUUUUGUAAGUCUGAUGUGAAAUCCCCGGGCUCAACCUGGGAAUUGCAUUGGAGACUGCAAGGCUAGAAUCUGGCAGAGGGGGGUAGAAUUCCACGUGUAGCAGUGAAAUGCGUAGAUAUGUGGAGGAACACCGAUGGCGAAGGCAGCCCCCUGGGUCAAGAUUGACGCUCAUGCACGAAAGCGUGGGGAGCAAACAGGAUUAGAUACCCUGGUAGUCC
This 793-nucleotide ribosomal RNA is filed under the name uncultured bacterium. RNAcentral's name for it is "bacterial SSU rRNA". It matches the Rfam family "Bacterial small subunit ribosomal RNA", at positions 8 to 796 of the family's 1533-position model. The record is from RNAcentral.